RNAcentral lists this unclassified non-coding RNA (715 nucleotides) under Hevea brasiliensis (rubber tree). Lineage: Eukaryota; Viridiplantae; Streptophyta; Magnoliopsida; Malpighiales; Euphorbiaceae. The record is from RNAcentral.
UGAAAGUAAAAAAUAUUAUUAAUUAAUAAAAAUAAUAAGAAAAUAUUGUAAUAGAAUAAAAAUAUAAUUUAAAGAUAUAAAACAAUUUGAUGUUGGUUAAAUUGUAUGAUAUUUUUAUCAUUUUAAAAAAAUUAAUUUUUCCUUUCUCCUCUCUCUUUGUAUGUCACAACCAGAAUAGCUUCAUAGUAGUUUAAUAUCAUAAUCUAACUGAAGAAAUUAACUAAGGUAACAACAAAAGAUAGAAAAUGAUCAUGAAAGCAGAGGAAAGGAAUACUAAUAAUGAUAACUGACAAGAUUGAUAUAUUUGUCUCUUAAUUUAAUUCUCUUUUCUUUUAUGUUUUGGUAUUUUUUCUUGUUUGUAAUCUCAAAGUUAUGUCCAUAUCCAAAACAUGAUAUAAUUUCUCUAAAUCUGUGUGUGUGUGCAUUCAUUUUUGGUAAAAAAAAAUGAUCUAAAAUCAUUUUAUUUCAUAUAAUUAUUAUUUUAUAUAUUUCUAUUCAGAGGGAACAAUAAUUCAUGAACAUAGAUAGACAGCGUUCCGUAAUGGAAUUCUUCUCUUCAGUCUUAUUCUAACAUCUCUUUGCAUUGGUGGCUAAAGUAGGGAGAUAAUAUUGGGCGGCCGGCUGAGGAAAUGGAGAGAGAGAUCAACGAAAAACUUUUGACAGAAGCGGAGAAUUCUGAAGUUGAGGAAGUGAAGUUCAAGGACAAGCUAUGGAC